UACACGCUCCUUAGAUCCUCUUACGGGAUUGGAUGAUCUCCUAUCCGGCAACUUCAUCGGUUGUUUUUAAUCGUAAGAGAUUGAGUCAUUGGCGUGUGAGAUUACCUUGAUGGAUCUGGAUUUGCUGUUACUUGAUUUCAUUUCUUGAGUGUGUAAAUAUUCACAGUUAUAAGUGACGUCAUUUCAGUAAUUUGGACAAA
This 200-nucleotide small nucleolar RNA is filed under the name Lepeophtheirus salmonis (salmon louse). RNAcentral describes it as "small nucleolar RNA SNORA53". It matches the Rfam family "Small nucleolar RNA SNORA53". Rfam says of the family: The snoRNA ACA53 belongs to the H/ACA family of pseudouridylation guide snoRNAs. Lineage: Eukaryota; Metazoa; Arthropoda; Copepoda; Siphonostomatoida; Caligidae. The record is from RNAcentral.